Neofelis nebulosa (Clouded leopard) is the source of this 550-nucleotide long non-coding RNA. RefSeq lists it as uncharacterized. The record is from RefSeq and is a predicted model, not a curated record. The transcript has 2 exons. NCBI's taxonomy places the organism in Eukaryota, Metazoa, Chordata, Mammalia, Carnivora, Felidae.
GAAUGCUCAAUCUUCAUUCUCCUUUCCUCAGUGAGGAAAUAAAGAGAAUGUUAUGGAAUCAUUUUUCAUCUUUUCAGUAGCAAAACAAAUGCACUGUCCUUUAGCACUACUUAAAUUAACUCCACAUUCUCCUUUACCUUACUCCAACCUUCUUUGUGUGGGGAGGUAAGAUCACUUCAUCUUUGUGUUGUCCCACAAUGCUUCUCCAUAUCAUACAAGUUGGCUUCAAAAGUUUGUUGUCAUUCAAAUUACCAAUCUACUAUUUGUCUCUGAUAAAUCAACUUAAUACUACCUCACUUUGUACAGCUGUAUUAUUUGAAUGAUGUAAUGUUUAUUCCAUUAAUUAUACACUGAGCUAAAACAUAUAGCUAUGCAUAUCUUUCUAUUUAAGUGAAAGAAGGGGAAACAGGCUACUGUGUUUUCCAAGAAUGUAGGUUCUGUGCCAAGAACAGGAUUAACACCAGUGUUACACACAAGAACUAGAUGGUGAAAACUAUGGAUGAGUCUAUGCAUUAUAAUGAGAUAAUAAAACAUAAUGAAGUAAACGGUA